RNAcentral lists this ribosomal RNA (492 nucleotides) under uncultured bacterium. Its description in RNAcentral is "partial 16S ribosomal RNA". It matches the Rfam family "Bacterial small subunit ribosomal RNA", at positions 38 to 507 of the family's 1533-position model. The record is from RNAcentral.
GGGGGGGGGGGGGGGGGGGCGGGGGGGGGGGGGGGGGGGCGGCGGCAGAGGAGGGGCUUGCUCGGACGGGGGGGGAGUGGGGGACGGGUGCGGGAUACAGCGGCGUCUACGUUUUCGUGGGGGGGAACGUAGGGAAACUGACGCUAGUACCGCAUACGGCAUCCGGGGGACAGCAGGGGCUCUUCUGAUCUUUCCCGCUUGAAAUGGCCUACGUCGGAUUAGCGAGUUGGCGGGGUAAAGGCCCCCCACGGCCACGAUCCGUAUCUGGUCUGAGAGGAUGAUCAGACACACUGGAACUGAGACACGGUCCAGACUCCUACGGGAGGCAGCAGUGGGGAAUAUUGGACAAUGGGCGCAAGCCUGAUCCAGCCAUACCGCGUGGGUGAAGAAGGCCUUCGGGUUGUAAAGCCCUUUUGUUGGGAAAGAAAAGCAGCAGGUUAAUACCCCGCUGUUCUGACGGUACCCAAAGAAUAAGCACCGGCUAACUUCGUG